UCUUCCCUCUUUCUUCGUGCCUAAUACAUGCAAGUCGAGCGAACAGACGAGGAGCUUGCUCCUCUGACGUUAGCGGCGGACGGGUGAGUAACACGUGGAUAACCUACCUAUAAGACUGGGAUAACUUCGGGAAACCGGAGCUAAUACCGGAUAAUAUAUUGAACCGCAUGGUUCAAUAGUGAAAGACGGUUUUGCUGUCACUUAUAGAUGGAUCCGCGCCGCAUUAGCUAGUUGGUAAGGUAACGGCUUACCAAGGCAACGAUGCGUAGCCGACCUGAGAGGGUGAUCGGCCACACUGGAACUGAGACACGGUCCAGACUCCUACGGGAGGCAGCAGUAGGGAAUCUUCCGCAAUAGGCGAAAGCCUGACGGAGCAACGCCGCGUAAGUGAUGACGGUCUUCGGAUCGUAAAACUCUGUUAUUAGGGAAGAACAAAUGUGUAAGUAACUAUGCACGUCUUGACGGUACCUAAUCAGAAAGCCACGGCUAACUACGUG
RNAcentral lists this ribosomal RNA (497 nucleotides) under uncultured bacterium. RNAcentral's name for it is "partial 16S ribosomal RNA". It matches the Rfam family "Bacterial small subunit ribosomal RNA", at positions 36 to 507 of the family's 1533-position model. The record is from RNAcentral.